This 222-nucleotide ribosomal RNA is filed under the name uncultured bacterium. RNAcentral describes it as "partial 16S ribosomal RNA". It matches the Rfam family "Bacterial small subunit ribosomal RNA", at positions 111 to 334 of the family's 1533-position model. The record is from RNAcentral.
AGACACGUAUCCAACCUGCCCUUUACUCGGGGAUAGCCUUUCGAAAGAAAGAUUAAUACCCGAUAGCAUAAUGAUUCCGCAUGGUUUCAUUAUUAAAGGAUUCCGGUAAAGGAUGGGGAUGCGUUCCAUUAGGUUGUUGGUGAGGUAACGGCUCACCAAGCCUUCGAUGGAUAGGGGUUCUGAGAGGAAGGUCCCCCACAUUGGAACUGAGACACGGUCCAA